This is a long non-coding RNA of Bombyx mori (domestic silkworm), 547 nucleotides long. RefSeq lists it as uncharacterized. The transcript is spliced from 2 exons. The record is from RefSeq and is a predicted model, not a curated record. NCBI's taxonomy places the organism in Eukaryota, Metazoa, Arthropoda, Insecta, Lepidoptera, Bombycidae.
AUUGCACCUAUAAUUGAGGUGACAUCUGCCAUGAACUUUUGUCAAUUUGUCAAUGUUUUGUAUUGAUGAUCACUUUGUUGGUGCAACUUAAUAAAUAAAUAAAUAAACUCAUAGGCGCAGUAGCGUGUGGUUUUUCGUAUGCCGAUAGCCUUUAAAGGCUAUAUCAGCGUUACCCUAGCAUGUAGGUGAGCUUUCGGGGCUCAAAGCGGAGGUGUUACUAACACUGGUCCAAGCAAAAGCAGUGCAUUGCAGAAUCGACCGCCAGAUCGGAAACGCAGUUGCGUGUACGACAUCGCGAUAAGGCCGAAAACUUCCUUCGUGCCUAAGCUGCAAGGGAGGGGAGGGGCGACUGCGGGAUGAGGGGAGGACGCGGAGUAUGACCAACCAUUGAAAUGAUUCAUAAUGCGAUUUGUAUUACUUAUUAUAUUACGAGCAAGUCGAGUCGAACGAGAAGUUGAGUAAAACAAUAUUUCACCAGGACAGGUGGGCAAGCAAGGGCUCAGCCAGGAGGUGUUCUUAAGCUGUCAAUAAACGUGGGAGAUUCAAA